Molecule: ribosomal RNA, 497 nt
Filed under: uncultured bacterium
Lineage: Bacteria
Description: partial 16S ribosomal RNA
Rfam family: Bacterial small subunit ribosomal RNA
Source: RNAcentral
GAUGAACGCUGGCGGCGUGCCUAAUACAUGCAAGUCGAGCGAACAGACGAGGAGCUUGCUCCUCUGACGUUAGCGGCGGACGGGUGAGUAACACGUGGAUAACCUACCUAUAAGACUGGGAUAACUUCGGGAAACCGGAGCUAAUACCGGAUAAUAUAUUGAACCGCAUGGUUCAAUAGUGAAAGACGGUUUUGCUGUCACUUAUAGAUGGAUCCGCGCCGCAUUAGCUAGUUGGUAAGGUAACGGCUUACCAAGGCAACGAUGCGUAGCCGAACUGAGAGGGGGGUCGGCCACACUGGAACGGAAACACGGUCCAGACUCCUGCGGGAGGCAGCAGUAGGGAAUCUGCCGCAAUAGGCGAAAGCCUGACGGAGCAACGCCGCGUGAGUGAUGAAGGUCUUCGGAUCGUAAAACUCUGUUAUUAGGGAAAAACAAAUGUGUAAGUAACUAUGCACGUCUUGACGGUACCUAAUCAGAAAGCCACGGCUAACUACGUG